Molecule: long non-coding RNA, 1413 nt
Organism: Triticum dicoccoides
Lineage: Eukaryota; Viridiplantae; Streptophyta; Magnoliopsida; Poales; Poaceae
Exons: 8
Source: RefSeq, a predicted model, not a curated record
GUUAGUUCUCUGAUGUUGCUCCUCGAGGAUGAUACAUUUAGAACCCGUGGCAUUGCGUGUGACUCAGCAGAUGCAGCGACUGGAUCCCUGAUGUUGCUCCUCAAGGAAGAUGCACUUGUAACCAUGAUAUCACCUGCGCGUCAGCAGAAAGCAUUUCUGGAUGUAGCGACUCACUGUCCGAUGUUGCCCCUCAAGUAUGAUGCACUUGUAACCCGCGGCAUCACCUGUGCCUCAGCAGUUGAUUGUGAUUUCUUGCCUCCCGCGAGUGUAUCUGCUGGCCAUACAGGCUGGGCUCGGUCUCCCUGUCUUUGUCCAGCUCUCCGCUGUCACCGUGUGACGGCAACGGCUACAAACAUUAAAGGUUCCGUGUCAUGGAAUGGAUGGGUGAUAGUGAGCGAGCAAUGGAUCUCGCUGAAUACGCCUUGCCGGUCUAGAGAGUGUUGGGCUUGGAAGCGGGGACACCCAGAUGUGCGAGGAGGUGGCCAUAUUGGUUGAAGGCAGGGCUCGCUGGAUGUAUUUAAGCAAUCAAUCAACUUGCACGAGGAACCCUGUUGCCAUUGGAUGGUCUAAAGGUCUGUAGAGAUCCCAAUGUUAUGGUUCCUGUGUCUGCGUGGAAUGGACCAGGAUGCUUGGGACUUGGGAGGGUAUAUACAUGCUGAAAUUGGUCCAACUGUGACUUCCCCCUCCUCACUAUGUCAAACCUUGCUUGAUAAAUCGGCCUUGAUGUCAUGACCCAUAUCAGAGAUUACAUGGUGAAGAAGCUCCGUGUCGACAAGAGCAUCAUCCUGAAGCACUGCAUCCUCAACUACAAGCAGUACGGAACCACCAUGGCUGUGGGCUGUAGGGUACCAAUUAUACUAUGGUGAUUUUCACGUCCACGGGUACUGCCUGCCAGCUGUUUGUUGGUCAAGAUUACAUGGUGGAGAUGCUCAGCGUCGACAAGGGCGUGAUCCUGGAGCUCUGCGCCCUCAGCUACAACAAUUACAGAAGCCCCGUGCCUAGGUUGUAGGCAUAUCACAGAGGGAGGCAGCAAGGAGAGAAUCUAGGAAAAUGUGAACUAUUUUAUUUGUCCUUUGCCGAUGGAUGAAUUCCGUUUGGUACCAUGUUGUGUUGAUGCUGUUCUCGAUUUGUUAUGCAUUCGCAUAUGCUUGUUGGUGGCAAGACGAGAAAAGACGGUCGUUGAAUUGGGUUGACACAAGUGGCAAGGCGCCGAAGAGAGGCGAGAUUCAGACCGGAAGCACUGUGUAAAAUGAGCUGGACUUGCAAAUUGUGUUUAGGCUGGGUGUUGUUGAACUCAGGAACCUGUACCUGUUGAAAAUUGAUGUCAUUUACUCGUUCAUGUAUGUAUUGCGACCAUGAUUGAUUUUCAGAAUCUCGGUUGAAGAUUGUCUCACGAAGUGAGCGAGUCACAUA